Molecule: long non-coding RNA, 1335 nt
Organism: Oncorhynchus keta (chum salmon)
Lineage: Eukaryota; Metazoa; Chordata; Actinopteri; Salmoniformes; Salmonidae
Exons: 5
Source: RefSeq, a predicted model, not a curated record
GGUGAGCCGAGACUGUUUCAGGGAGACACGAGAGGGUGAGAGCGUUUUGGGAUCUAGUUAGUAUGAGGUGAGCCGAGACUGUUUCAGGGAGACACGAGAGGGUGAGAGCGUUUUGGGAUCUAGUUAGUAUGAGGUGAGCCGAGACUGUUUCAGGGAGACACGAGAGGGUGAGAGCGUUUUGGGAUCUAGUUAGUAUGAGGUGAGCCGAGACUGUUUCAGGGAGACACGAGAGGGUGAGAGCGUUUUGGGAUCUAGUUAGUAUGAGGUGAGCCGAGACUGUUUCAGGGAGACACGAGAGGGUGAGAGCGUUUUGGGAUCUAGUUAGUAUGAGGUGAGCCGAGACUGUUUCAGGGAGACACGAGAGGGUGAGAGCGUUUUGGGAUCUAGUUAGUAUGAGGUGAGCCGAGACUGUUUCAGGGAGACACGAGAGGGUGAGAGCGUUUUGGGAUCUAGUUAGUAUGAGGUGAGCCGAGACUGUUUCAGGGAGACACGAGAGGGUGAGAGCGUUUUGGGAUCUAGUUAGUAUGAGGUGAGCCGAGACUGUUUCAGGGAGACACGAGAGGGUGAGAGCGUUUUGGGAUCUAGUUAGUAUGAGGUGAGCCGAGACUGUUUCAGGGAGACACGAGAGGGUGAGAGCGUUUUGGGAUCUAGUUAGUAUGAGGUGAGCCGAGACUGUUUCAGGGAGACACGAGAGGGUGAGAGCGUUUUGGGAUCUAGUUAGUAUGAGGUGAGCCGAGACUGUUUCAGGGAGACACGAGAGGGUGAGAGCGUUUUGGGAUCUAGUUAGUAUGAGGUGAGCCGAGACUGUUUCAGGGAGACACGAGAGGGUGAGAGCGUUUUGGGAUCUAGUUAGUAUGAGGUGAGCCGAGACUGUUUCAGGGAGACACGAGAGGGUGAGAGCGUUUUGGGAUCUAGUUAGUAUGAGGUGAGCCGAGACUGUUUCAGGGAGACACGAGAGGGUGAGAGCGUUUUGGGAUCUAGUUAGUAUGAGGUGAGCCGAGACUGUUUCAGGGAGACACGAGAGGGUGAGAGCGUUUUGGGAUCUAGUUAGUAUGAGGUGAGCCGAGACUGUUUCAGGGAGACACGAGAGGGUGAGAGCGUUUUGGGAUCUAGUUAGUAUGAGGUGAGCCGAGACUGUUUCAGGGAGACACGAGAGGGUGAGAGCGUUUUGGGAUCUAGUUAGUAUGAGGUGAGCCGAGACUGUUUCAGGGAGACACGAGAGGGUGAGAGCGUUUUGGGAUCUAGUUAGUAUGAGGUGAGCCGAGACUGUUUCAGGGAGACACGAGAGGGUGAGAGCGUUUUGGGAUCUAGUUAGUAUGAGGUGAGCCGAGACUG